ACGGGGCGCAGCAGGCGCGAAAACUUUACAAUGCGGGAAACCGUGAUAAGGGAACACCGAGUGCCAGCAUCAUAUGCUGGCUGUCCAGAUGUGUAAACUACAUCUGUUAGCAAGGGCCGGGCAAGACCGGUGCCAGCCGCCGCGGUAACACCGGCGGCCCGAGUGGUGACCGUUAUUAUUGGGUCUAAAGGGUCCGUAGCCGGUUUGGUCAGUCCUCCGGGAAAUCUGAUAGCUUAACUGUUAGGCUUUCGGGGGAUACUGCCAGGCUUGGAACCGGGAGAGGUAAGAGGUACUACAGGGGUAGGAGUGAAAUCUUGUAAUCCCUGUGAGACCACCUGUGGCGAAGGCGUCUUACCAGAACGGGUUCGACGGUGAGGGACGAAAGCUGGGGGCACGAACCGGAUUAGAUACCCGGGUAGUCCCAGCCGUAAACUAUGCUCGCUAGGUGUCAGGCAUGGCGCGACCGUGUCUGGUGCCGCAGGGAAGCCGUGAAGCGAGCCACCUGGGAAGUACGGCCGCAAGGCUGAAACUUAAAGGAAUUGGCGGGGGAGCACAACAACGGGUGGAGCCUGCGGUUUAAUUGGACUCAACGCCGGACAACUCACCGGGAACGACA
RNAcentral lists this ribosomal RNA (616 nucleotides) under uncultured archaeon. RNAcentral's name for it is "bacterial SSU rRNA". It matches the Rfam family "Archaeal small subunit ribosomal RNA", at positions 325 to 941 of the family's 1478-position model. The record is from RNAcentral.